This 468-nucleotide ribosomal RNA is filed under the name uncultured bacterium. RNAcentral's name for it is "partial 16S ribosomal RNA". It matches the Rfam family "Bacterial small subunit ribosomal RNA", at positions 28 to 507 of the family's 1533-position model. The record is from RNAcentral.
GACGAACGCUGGCGGCGUGCUUAACACAUGCAAGUCGAACGGAAAGGCCCUGCUUUUGUUGGGUGCUCGAGUGGCGAACGGGUGAGUAACACGUGAGUAACCUGCCCUUGACUUUCGGAUAACUUCAGGAAACUGGGGCUAAUACCCGAUAGGAUCUCCUGCUGCAUGUGGUUGGUUGGAAAGUUUCGGCGGUUCGGGCUGGACUCGCGGCUUAUCAGCUUGUUUGUGGGGUAGUGGCUUACCAAGGCUUUGACGGGUAGCCGGCCUGAGAGGGUGACCGGCCACAUUGGGACUGAGAUACGGCCCAGAAUCCUACGGGCGGCAGCAGUGGGGAAUCUUGCACAAUGGGCGGAAGCCUGAUGCAGCAACGCCGCGUGCGUGAUGCCGGCUUUCGGGUUGUAAACCGCUUUCGCCUGUGACGAAGAGUGAGUGACGGUAAUGGGUAAAGAAGCACCGGCUAACUACGUG